This 358-nucleotide long non-coding RNA is filed under the name Phoenix dactylifera (date palm). RNAcentral describes it as "long non-coding RNA (PDAC_LNC008630)". The record is from RNAcentral. Lineage: Eukaryota; Viridiplantae; Streptophyta; Magnoliopsida; Arecales; Arecaceae.
GAAGGUUUUAACUUAUUGUUGUGUUUGUGAUGCUUCCUAUUAUUGUUUGAUUUCCUCACUUAUUUACUUAGACAAAUGACUGAUUAAAUUGCUUACUUAACUCUUAUUCGCACAUCCUUUAUUUGCAAGUAUAUUCAAAUUAUUUAACAAAAUUUCACUUGAUAAAUCUGCAUCAAGAUUUAUUGUAUUGAAUUGCAUGCUUGAACAAACUUAGACUAAUCUUUUAUUGAGCCCAUUUAUCCGCCUGCUUAAUAGUUUUAAUCUUGAUUAGAUUAAAAUUAAUCUGUUGUUAAGUUUAAAUUCGACUGUGCUUCCAUAUAACUUAGCUUAAUUAAUUAAAAAGUUUAGAAGUAAUUAA